This 338-nucleotide ribosomal RNA is filed under the name Mesodinium pulex. Its description in RNAcentral is "partial Bacterial large subunit ribosomal RNA". It matches the Rfam family "Bacterial large subunit ribosomal RNA", at positions 294 to 636 of the family's 2925-position model. The record is from RNAcentral. Lineage: Eukaryota; Ciliophora; Litostomatea; Cyclotrichida; Mesodiniidae.
GGGGUUAUAGGACUGCAUUUAGGAUGAUUUUUAAACAUGAAUCACUUGGGAAAGUGAGCCGUAGAGCGUGAGAGCCGCGUAAUGGUAAAUGAAAUCAAACGAGCAGUAUCCUGAGUAGGUGGGGGCCGGUGAAACCCCCUCUGAAUUCAGCUGCACCAUCAGCUAAGGCUAAAUACUCCUGAGACACCGAUAGCGAACUAGUACUGUGAAGGAAAGAUGAAAAGCACGGGGAAUACCCGGGUGAAAUAGAACCUGAAACCGUACGCUUACAAGCGGUCGGAGCUUCUUUAUGAAGUGACGGCGUGCCUUUUGCAUAAUGAUCCUACGAGUUAUGGUAU